Molecule: ribosomal RNA, 498 nt
Filed under: uncultured bacterium
Lineage: Bacteria
Description: bacterial SSU rRNA
Rfam family: Bacterial small subunit ribosomal RNA
Source: RNAcentral
CUACGUGCCAGCAGCCGCGGUAAUACGGAGGGUGCGAGCGUUAAUCGGAAUAACUGGGCGUAAAGGGCACGCAGGCGGUUAUUUAAGUGAGGUGUGAAAGCCCCGGGCUUAACCUGGGAAUUGCAUUUCAGACUGGGUAACUAGAGUACUUUAGGGAGGGGUAGAAUUCCACGUGUAGCGGUGAAAUGCGUAGAGAUGUGGAGGAAUACCGAAGGCGAAGGCAGCCCCUUGGGAAUGUACUGACGCUCAUGUGCGAAAGCGUGGGGAGCAAACAGGAUUAGAUACCCUGGUAGUCCACGCUGUAAACGAUGUCGAUUUGGGGGUUGAGCUUUAAGCUUGGCGCCCGUAGCUAACGUGAUAAAUCGACCGCCUGGGGAGUACGGCCGCAAGGUUAAAACUCAAAUGAAUUGACGGGGGCCCGCACAAGCGGUGGAGCAUGUGGUUUAAUUCGAUGCAACGCGAAGAACCUUACCUACUCUUGACAUCCAGAGAACAUUC